GGUAGCCGGCCUGAGAGGGUGNNCGGCCACANUGGGACUGAGANACGGCCCAGACUCCUACGGNAGGCAGCAGUGGGGAAUAUUGCACAAUGGGCGCAAGCCUGAUGCAGCNACGCCGCGUGNGGGAUGACGGCCUUCGGGUUGUAAACNNCUUUCNCNAGGGACGAAGCGMAAGUGACGGUACCUGNAGAAGAAGCACCGGCUAACUACGUGCCAGCAGCCGCGGUAAUACGUAGGGUGCGAGCGUUGUCCGGAAUUACUGGGCGUAAAGAGCUCGUAGGUGGUUUGUCGCGUCGUUUGUGUAA
Molecule: ribosomal RNA, 305 nt
Filed under: uncultured bacterium
Lineage: Bacteria
Description: partial 16S ribosomal RNA
Rfam family: Bacterial small subunit ribosomal RNA
Source: RNAcentral